UUUAUGAUGCUGUUCUACUGAAGUUGCAUUAAAAAUGGAUUUACAUUUCCUUGGUUGUGGUGUGGAUGUUCAUCGAAGUCGACUAGAUUCCUUGAAAUAAAACAAGCUUCGUAGAUUGCUGGCGAACACCAAUUUUGUUUUUUUGGAGGAUAUCUUUAUUAUAUCGCUUACCAUAGGUCGAAAGUCGUAAAUUGAUGUAUUUUUCAAUGAUCUGUUUGAUAAGCUGUGAUGAAUGUAGAUCUUCAGUUAUUGCUUCGUGAUCAACAUCAUGCUCGUUGAGUUCAGGAAGAAGCUCUUUCUGCAAGCUCUUGGUUAAUAAGAUGAACCAUUAUAGUCUUCAAGUUUCUCCUGCUGGAAAUUUUUUGUUUUUUUGAACGAGUUUCAUGAAUGAGGACUUGAAAAGCUCUUUCAGAUGCAAAUAUUAUUUUGGUCACACCAUUAGAAGGGAGAACAAGACCACCACGAUUCUUCAAACUGAUUAAAUUUAAAGAUAAAGAUGUAGUAGUUUGGAAGUGUGAAUAAUUGUGAUCAUGAA
Molecule: long non-coding RNA, 535 nt
Organism: Xenia sp. Carnegie-2017
Lineage: Eukaryota; Metazoa; Cnidaria; Anthozoa; Malacalcyonacea; Xeniidae
Exons: 2
Source: RefSeq, a predicted model, not a curated record